GCGUGCUCUGCGAGUUCUCACUUCAUAGUGUGACACCCGGGAGGUAAUGUUUAUCCGUUCUCAUUUUGGAGAGGAGGAAAUAGACUCAGAAAGGUUAAGUAACUUGCCCAAGGUCACAGAGACCGGGCAUAGCAGAGCCUAGUGAUUCAAACAGAGGCGUUGAAAGUGCUGAAGGCCAGCUAAGGGUAGUCAUCACCAACACGGGAGAACAAGGAUUAGGAAACCACAAUCUGGGACCAGGUAGUGGCGCAGUGGCGAUGCACCUAAACCCUCAUGGGAAGGAUCCUAGGUUCAAGACUCAAGAGCUCCCUGGUGGCCUGUUUCGUUUAAUUCUUUGUCCCAAACACCAAGAACCUGGAUGUGGUUGCAGAAGUCAUCCCACAGCAAGUUAUGGAGCCAAGCCAGAAGGCCCCACUACAGUCCAGGAAGAAGAUAAGAUGAUGGUUUCAUGGCUCAAAGCUUCUAGACGAAGAAUCUCCUGGCCUUGGUACCCACUCCAAAAUUAGGAGAAUAACUGGACCCAUUCUGCACAUGCCUCCCUCC
Molecule: long non-coding RNA, 543 nt
Organism: Tupaia belangeri chinensis (Chinese tree shrew)
Lineage: Eukaryota; Metazoa; Chordata; Mammalia; Scandentia; Tupaiidae
Exons: 2
Source: RefSeq, a predicted model, not a curated record